This 68-nucleotide transfer RNA is filed under the name Elseya dentata. Its description in RNAcentral is "tRNA-Cys". Lineage: Eukaryota; Metazoa; Chordata; Testudines; Chelidae. The record is from RNAcentral.
AGCUCUGUGGUGAAGUUCACGUCAGAUUGCAAAUUUGGAGAUAUAUCCUAGUGAUGAUAUCAGAGCUU